Molecule: ribosomal RNA, 492 nt
Filed under: uncultured bacterium
Lineage: Bacteria
Description: partial 16S ribosomal RNA
Rfam family: Bacterial small subunit ribosomal RNA
Source: RNAcentral
AGUGAACGCUGGCGGUAGGCCUAACACAUGCAAGUCGAACGGCAGCACAGUAAGAGCUUGCUCUUACGGGUGGCGAGUGGCGGACGGGUGAGGAAUACAUCGGAAUCUACUUUUUCGUGGGGGAUAACGUAGGGAAACUUACGCUAAUACCGCAUACGACCUACGGGUGAAAGCAGGGGAUCUUCGGACCUUGCGCGAUUGAAUGAGCCGAUGUCGGAUUAGCUAGUUGGCGGGGUAAAGGCCCACCAAGGCGACGAUCCGUAGCUGGUCUGAGAGGAUGAGCGGCAACAGUGGGACUGAGACACGGUCCAGACGCCUACGGGAGGCAGCAGGAGGGAAUGUUGCGCAAUGGGUGAAAGUGUGACGGAGCAAGGGCGCGUGAGUGAUGAAGGUAUUCGGAUCGUAAAACUCUGUUAUGAGGGAAGAACAAAUGGGUACGUAAAUGUGCACACCUUGACGGUACCUAAUCAGAAAGCCACGGCUAAAUACGUG